Molecule: long non-coding RNA, 225 nt
Filed under: Elaeis guineensis (African oil palm)
Lineage: Eukaryota; Viridiplantae; Streptophyta; Magnoliopsida; Arecales; Arecaceae
Description: long non-coding RNA (EGUI_LNC076171)
Source: RNAcentral
UGGGGUUUGGAUGGCAUUGUGGAGGUUCGUCCGUUGGGAGAGUCUUGAGGACACUGUUGAAGGUCGAAUGUCGGAGGAGUUCGGGAUUCAAUUCUGCUGUAGAAGUUUGGACGAAGACCGACUAUCGUGGAAGCUCGAAUGGAGACUUCUUAUUGUAGAAGUCCCACUGCUAGAGAAGCUCGGACAUUGAUGAAGUUCGAAAGAAGUUUGAAGUAAAGAUCCGAC